Molecule: non-coding RNA, 3892 nt
Organism: Oryctolagus cuniculus (rabbit)
Lineage: Eukaryota; Metazoa; Chordata; Mammalia; Lagomorpha; Leporidae
Source: RefSeq, a predicted model, not a curated record
ACCUGAUAUUUCUCUGGAUUGACUACAGAGUGUGAUUCAGACAGUGACAGGUGUGAGUCAGCAGGUGCAUGUGCACUGUGCAGUGUGACUCAGUGACAGGUGUGAGUCAGCAGGUGCAUGUGCACUGAGCAGUGACUCAGACAGUGACAGGUGUGAGUCAGCAGGUGCAUGUGCACUGAGCAGUGUGACUCAGUGACAGGUGUGAGUCAGCAGGUGCAUGUGCACUGUGCAGUGUGACUUAGUGACAGGUGUGAGUCAGCAGGUGCAUGUGUACUGUGCAGUGUGACUCAGUGACAGGUGUGAGUCAGCAGGUGCAUGUGCACUGUGCAGUGUGACUCAGUGACAGGUGUGAGUCAGCAGGUGAAUGUGCACUGCACAGUGUGACUCAGUGACAGGUGUGAGUCAGCAGGUGCAUGUGCACUGUGCAGUGUGACCCAGUGACAGGUGUGAGUAAGCAGGUGCAUGUACACUGUGCAGUGUGACACAGAGAGUGACAGGUGUGAGUCAGCAGGUGCAUGUGCACUGUGCAGUGACUCAGAGAGUGACAGGUGUGAGUCAGCAGGUGCAUGUGCACUGAGCAGUGUGACUAAGUGACAGGUGUGAGUCAGCAGGUGCAUGUGCACUGUGCAGUGUGACUCAGUGACAGGUGUGAGUCAGCAGGUGCAUGUGCACUGUGCAGUGUGACUCAGUGACAGGUGUGAGUCAGCAGGUGCAUGUGCACUGUGCAGUGACUCAGAGAGUGACAGGUGUGAGUCAGCAGGUGCAUGUGCACUGUGCAGUGUGACUCAGUGACAGGUGUGAGUCAGCAGGUGCAUGUGCACUGUGCAGUGUGACUCAGUGACAGGUGUGAGUCAGCAGGUGCAUGUGCACUGUGCAGUGUGACUCAGUGACAGGUGUGAGUCAGCAGGUGCAUGUGCACUGUGCAGUGACUCAGAGAGUGACAGGUGUGAGUCAGCAGGUGCAUGUGCACUGAGCAGUGUGACUAAGUGACAGGUGUGAGUCAGCAGGUGCAUGUGCACUGUGCAGUGUGACUCAGUGACAGGUGUGAGUCAGCAGGUGCAUGUGCACUGUGCAGUGUGACUCAGUGACAGGUGUGAGUCAGCAGGUGCAUGUGCACUGUGCAGUGACUCAGAGAGUGACAGGUGUGAGUCAGCAGGUGCAUGUGCACUGUGCAGUGUGACUCAGUGACAGGUGUGAGUCAGCAGGUGCAUGUGCACUGUGCAGUGUGACUCAGUGACAGGUGUGAGUCAGCAGGUGCAUGUGCACUGUGCAGUGUGACUCAGUGACAGGUGUGAGUCAGCAGGUGCAUGUGCACUGUGCAGUGUGACUCAGUGACAGGUGUGAGUCAGCAGGUGCAUGUGCACUGUGCAGUGACUCAGAGAGUGACAGGUGUGAGUCAGCAGGUGCAUGUGCACUGUGCAGUGACUCAGUGACAGGUGUGAGUCAGCAGGUGCAUGUGCACUGUGCAGUGUGACUCAGUGACGGGUGUGAGUCAGCAGGUGCAUGUGCACUACUGGGUGUGACCCAGACAGUGGGAUAUGUGUUGAAUCAAUAGCUGUAGCCUUUCUGGGAAUCUUGCCCUUUGCUAGUUCUCUAGCUGGUGCUCUGUCCUCCAUUUGCCGAGGGGCAGCCCCUGCCACCCACAGCUGGUAUCUGAGUUGAUCAGCUGGUUGUUUUUAGAUGUUGAACAGCUGACCGUGAUCAAAGGCACAAGCUUAUUUUGGGGGCACUUGUGUCUAAUUCUGGGCUAUUUCAUCUCUCUGUCUAGGUGUCUGGACUUUCCAGGGCGAGGUUGUGGUCUCUCAGAGUGUCACUCAGGAGGCCAGAGGAGGGCUGGUUGCUGUGCCAAUUUCUGUGCAGGUGCAGAGGUGGGUGGUGUUCACAGAGCCUGAUGUGAGGUCACAGCCACCUGGGGAUACCAUAUAGCUGGACUGGCUGGGUGGCCUGGGGUCAUGGAAGGAUGAAGGGCAGGGCAGGAGCUCCACCAAGCCCAGGCUCCAGAUGACCCAGGGGAAGUGAGGGAGGCUGUGUGCCUGCCUAAGCGAGGUCCCUGGGGGAGAGCCUGGGCGGCUGAGGCUCACUGGAACCAUCAGCAGGGGCCUUGGACAGGGGAAGUGAAAGCAGCUGGCAUUGCCAGCUGAGCCUCAGACCAGGGAGCAACGUGCACAAGGACUCCGAGUCUGGAGAAGCAGCAUCCGAGCCCCCGCGGAGCCUUCCGGCUGCCAGGGCUGUGGGAGGUUCUGGGACACGAGGUUCCCCAGGGAAAUCAGGAGCGAGCGAGUUUCGAGAUCCAGGCUGAGACUUCCUCUGUACCCCCUCAGGAGAGCAGUGUUCCCUGGGCAGUGUGGUUCUCGGGGGACCCAGCAGUCACCCUGCUCCCAGGGUGGGGGCAGGUGUUGGCAGCUGAAGAACUGAGAAACAGAGACCCCUGUCCACAGGCGCAAGUUAGAGGAAGCCAUGGCCAUUGUGUGGAACCCGGCGUGCAGGACCCAGGAGAGCCGUGUCUUUUCCAGGGCCCUUUCCCACACCAUUCCUGCCACUCUCCUUGUCUGUCCCAGGGAACUGAGCACUGCCACAGCUAUUUUACUCAAUGGUGCACUAAACAUUUGUAAAUACCACAAUCACGUAUAUAUUAGUAAACAGUAGUAGUGUACUUCUAAUUCAUUAGGUCCCAACACAAAGGGAAUAUACUGCCUGGCUGGCCCCCAUCUGUAGUCAAAGAAACCCAAGGAGACCAGGGUAGCUGUAGGAGAUGAUCUAAGAUAAAGAAAAGAGAGAGAGAGAGAGAGAGAGAGAGAGAGAGAGAGAGAGAGAGAAAGAGAGGGAGGGGGAGGGAGAGAGGGAGGAGAUAGAUAAGACAACAUGAGACAGGAUGGAUGUGCAAACAGAUAGAUAGGAGACAGACACAGAAAGAUGACAGAAACAGAAACUGACAGAGCACAGGUAGAAUGGAUGGACAGAUGGAUGGAUGGCAGAUAGGUAGACACAUAGAUGACAGACAGAUGUAUAAGGCAGAUGACUGUAUUACUCAUCAUCUCACUGCCGUAACAAAAUAUCCAAGGAAGCCUGCUUCCGUGAGAAGAGGUUUACUCUGGAGUCCAUGCAGCAUGACACUGGUUUUGCAAGGGCCCCUUGGGCUGCACACUCCGUGGCAGGAGUUUGUGUGUCUCUGUGGUCCUCCUCUGCCUCUCCUUAUAAAGGCACCGAGACUCAAUUACAAGCACAUGGCUCUGAGAACUGACUAAUUCAAUCAAUCACUUCAGCCUCUGACAGCAUCGUAUGUGACUUUUCACCCCAUGCCUCUGGGGUUUAAACCCCUGCAUGAGCUUGGAUAGCAAGUCAUAUUCACACCACACUGAUGAUGGACAGUUAGGAAGACAGAAUGCACUCUUUGUUUAUUAAAAAAAAGUUCAUUAAUGCAAAAAUAAGAGAUUUUCAAAAAGUUCAGGGGAAAAUGCACAUUACAGCAAAAGCUUUGCAUGGAUUUCAAAUUUUUUGUGCCAAAAUUAACUUAACUUUAAUUUUGUUUUUCCACAAAGUUUUUGAAGUAUCCCUGCAUAUAGCUAGCUAGCUAGCUAGCUAGCAAGCAAGGAAGAAGGAAGGAAGGAAGGAAGGAAGGAAGGAAGGAAGGAAGGAAGGAAGGAAGGAAAGAAGGAAGGAAGGGAGGGAGGAAGGGAGGGAGGGAGGGAGGAAUGGAGGAAGGAAGGAAGCCACACUUUAAAGCAUAACAGCUUAACUGGGUAUUCAGGUUUUCUACUUAAUGAAGGCUAAAAGCACAGCUUCUGUGGUCUGGGGACACGACAGGGUCCACACACACUUAUCUCAGGACAAAUGAACGGCUGUAGGCGUGGAGGUUGGCAACAGCCUGGUGAGUUUGGGGGGGGGGGGGACA